Molecule: unclassified non-coding RNA, 3808 nt
Organism: Actinia tenebrosa (Australian red waratah sea anemone)
Lineage: Eukaryota; Metazoa; Cnidaria; Anthozoa; Actiniaria; Actiniidae
Source: RefSeq, a predicted model, not a curated record
GUCUGUGUCGCGGCCAAAACCGCUAGAGGAGGACUGGGGCGAAGUUUUUCACACGUUUGAUUAUAGUCUAUAAUGUCAUCGAGCUGUGUAACUGCAGAAGGACAAAAUUGUAAGUUUUUCAUAGCCUUUGAUAUCUUUAUUAAGGUAUAUCGCAAUUUAUGUUCCUUUUCUACAUUAUUUACUAGUUGUGAACCGCCACUURAAACCUGUUUAGAGUGAUUUCAGUCGUCUUUAGAGCCGUGUAAGAUCGAAAAAAUUGUAAUCAAUGUAAACAACGUUCAUUUGAGUAAAAGAAAAACAAGGAGCGAGUGUCACAAGUUUCUGCAGCUACAUUUCGUUCACAAAAUUCUGAUUCCAAACUACGAAUAAAGACAGAAGAAAUAACGCUUGAAGUCUUGGAAUUAUGGUGAGUUUAGAGUUUUGAAGACCAAUGUUAUGGAUCAUUGCACAAGCACGCAAGAACCGAAGGCGCCAACUUCAGAUCUCGAUAAUGAUAUGCAAAUUAAUGACAAUACCGCAGACAGGCGCGAAAGAGAGAGAAUUCCGACUGAAAGAGGAAGGCAAGAAAAUAUUAGAAUUUUAAAAAAUCGAAGAACAACCACUCUUCGCGAGGCUUCGAAGAAAAGAACGAAACUUACAGAGCUUCUCUCAGACGAAGAAAAUUUGCAUCUAGUUAAAUCGCAAUUUGAAGAGCUUAACUCCUUAUUUAAUGACUUUCAAGCAGCUCAUGAAGCCCUGGUUGAGCAUUUGACCUCCGACGAGGACAAAGAUAAGGAAGAUGAUUAUUUUAUCGCCAAACAAAGCGCAGCGCUGGAGUUUCGAAAUCAAAUAAUUCAGUGGAUUGAGCUAGGAGAAGCACGAUUAGCCGAACGAGCCGACCUCUUAGAAUGUAAUUCAAUGUCAUCUAAAGGCUCCAAGCGCUUGCGCCACUCAAGAAGAUCGACGGGUUCAGCUGCUUCAUCCAGAGAGAAGGAGCGCCUCAACCUGGCCGAGAUGAUGGCCGAGAGGUCACUUUUGAAGGAGAGACAACGUAUUGAAGAGCUUAAACUAGAAAUAGACAUAGCGAAGUCACGCGAGAGAAAGAGUCUAUGCCAUAAUGGAAGCUGAAGAAUAUGGUGGAUUGCCUGCAUACUCCAACUCAGCCCCGCCCUUGAUGCGGUCUACACCACGGCAGAGAAGUAAUUUCAGCGUUAUACCAGAGCAGUAUGAAGGAAACGGAUUCAAGUGCCCCGACGCCACAACGGAGCGUAACGAGCAUCGCAGCACAGAGGAAAGGAUCACCACGGAAAUUCAUACCGCUAGCAAGGAACCCGACGAGCAGCAUGGAGGAAACGGAUCCAAGUGCCCCGACGCUACAACUGAUUGUUCUAAGAGCAACCAAGACGGGACCGGGUUAAAGCAACAAGAAAAGCUGACGAAGUGCGAGAAAUCUCACGACCUUGAAGAGUGUAAAGACUUCGUAAAGAAAACCCUGGAAGAAAGGAAGAAGUUUAUAGCAGAAAAACACCUGUGCUUUGCCUGCUACGGAACCAAACACCGGUCUAAAGGCUGUACCAACAAGAAAGUCUACAGAACAUGCAACAAACCACAUCCAACGUCACUCCACGUAGAUAACUUCAAUCCCAAAGAACAACAGAAAUCCAAGGACGAAAGUAAGUCAGAUUCUACGACCAUCGGUAGUACGUGUACUGACACGAAAGAAACUGAAAUUAGUCUAUCAACCACCACGCAGAAUGUCAUCCUGCAUGCCAUUCUACCCGUUAUCGUCCGGGCCGAGAACGGAAAUAUUGCUAAGACAUACGCACUUUACGACAACGGAAGUUCGGGAAUCUUCAUUACCGAAGAACUAAGGAACAGUUAGCAAUAAAGGGAAUCGACACAAGGCUACAAUUUGGAACUAUACACGGUUACAGUUCGGUCAAGUGCUCUAUCGUCGAAGGACUGACUGUAAGUGAUCUGACAGGUAACAAACCUGUCAAACUGGCUCGUUGUUACACGCGACAAGAAAUUCCAGCUAGUCAGCAGCAAAUCCCUACUCCCGAUUCCAGAACCUUCGUCAGAUAGCAAGUAACAUGCCUGAACUAGUGACAGACCUCGAGGUUGGUCUACUACUCGGAAGCGACUGCCCUCUGGCGCUCGAACCCCUAGAAGUAGUUCCAGGCGGAGGAAGCGGGCCUUUCGCCAUGCGCCUUCAACACGGAUGGACGGUGAACGCGGCAAACCAGAGGAGCAGAAGAUGGCUGAGCUGCCCAAGGACAGAGUAACACUUGCUUUUCCAUUCACGUGUGCAGGCGUAGAUUAUUUUGGCCCUUACGUUAUCAAGUUUGGCCGAAAGGAAGUAAAGCGAUACGGUGCCCUUUUCACUUGUCUAGUCAGUAGAGCUGUGCAUAUAGAGAUAGCGAACUCUCUCGAUACAGAUUCGUUUAUACAAGCUCUCAGAAGAUUUAUAGCCCGUAGGGGACCGGUAAAGAUGAUUAGAAGUGAUAACGGGACCAACUUUGUCGGCGCUCAAGCAGAACUCCGCCGAGCUCUAGAGGAAAUGGAUUAGGAUCAGAUCAGAGACCGACUUCACAAGGAAGAAAUCGACUGGAUCUUCAACCCCCAGCCGCCAGCCAUAUGGGGGGCGUCUGGGAAAGGCAGAUUGGUACCAUACGCAAAGUGCUAGCUGGUCUUCUCAACGAGUAUGGCAAUCGUAUUGACGACGAAGAUCUACGCACAUUAAUGUGCGGAAUCGAAGCAGUAAUCAAUUCGCGACCGCUAACCUUCGUAUCCAGUGAUGCUAACGAUCUCGAGCCUCUCACACCGAGUCAUUUACUGACAACAAAAUCCACCGUAAUUCUACCGCCUCCGGGGAACUUUCAGAAGGGAGAUGUCUACAUGAAGCGACGGUGGAGAAGGGUUCAGUAUCUAACGAAUCUCUUUUGGACACGGUGGCGUAGAGAAUACCUACUGACGUGUCAACAGCGAAGUAAAUGACAGAAUCCAAAACGCAACCUAAGGAUCGGAGACGUAGUAAUCGUGAAGGAUGACAGUGCUCCUCGGAACUCAUGGACGAUGGGACUCGUCAAGGAAGUUGAGCAAGAUGAACAAGGCCUGGUGAGAGCCGCUGUCUYGAAGACCGACAAGAGUGAGCUGAGACGACCAACCAGCAAGCUUUGUGGUCAUCUUGGCCAAGGAAGAACAAUAGACAUUGAACUCAUAUAUUAUAAAGCUGUUUGCGUUCAAGAACAUUUAUAAUUAGUUGUUGUUUAAGUCAGUAAACCUAGGUUAGGUUUAGGGGCCGGGAAUGUCGCGGCCAAAACCGCUAGAGGAGGACUGGGGCGAAGUUUUUCACACGUUUGAUUAUAGUCUAUAAUGUCAUCGAGCUGUGUAACUGCAGAAGGACAAAAUUUUGGAGACUAUCCUAUAGGUGGAAUGCCACCUGUCUAGUUCUCCGCAACAGUUUAAUUGUUGGAAGCUUAAUAAAUAAAAAUGUAGAUAAAAUGAUUUGCAAGAUGGCAAAAGAAUACGAAAUAGCGAAGAAGGAGGAACUGAAGCAGACGCUCCAGGAACUAACAACAGUAAAUAAUGAAGAGCAAACCGCUAUUAAAACGAGAUUAAAAGAUCAGAAAAAAUUGUGCAACAUUGCCGAGCACUGUUGGAGAGAGAUGUAGCAUAUGAGGAAAUCGAAAGUAAGGAAAUGAUUCUAGAAAGAGCUAAGAUGUUAAAGAAUCUCCUUUGAUCUUAUGCCAUCGGCCAAUCCAGCGUGACGUGACAUUAUACAGUCAAUUCAAAAAACGUUGUCGUCGACAGGCUCAAGCCUACGCCA